Molecule: ribosomal RNA, 480 nt
Filed under: uncultured bacterium
Lineage: Bacteria
Description: SSU rRNA
Rfam family: Bacterial small subunit ribosomal RNA
Source: RNAcentral
AGGAUGAACGCUAGCGGCAGGCUUAAUACAUGCAAGUCGUGGGGCAGCAGGACUGUAGCAAUACAGUUGCUGGCGGCCGGCAAACGGGUGCGGAACACGUACGCAACCUUCCUUUAAGUGGUGAAUAGCUUUCGGAAACGAAAAUUAAUACACCGUAACAUUAUGAAAUGGCAUCAUUUUAUAAUUAUAGCUCCGGCGCUUAAAGAUGGGCGUGCGUCUGAUUAGGUAGUUGGCGGGGUAACGGCCCACCAAGCCUACGAUCAGUAACUGGUGUGAGAGCACGACCAGUCACACGGGCACUGAGACACGGGCCCGACUCCUACGGGAGGCAGCGGUGGGGAAUAUUGGACAAUGGGCGCAAGCCUGAUCCAGCCAUGCCGCGUGGAUGAUGAAGGCCCUAGGGUUGUAAAGUCCUUUCGGCGGGAAGAUAAUGACGGUACCCGCAGAAGAAGCCCCGGCUAACUUCGUGCCAGCAGCCGC